CCUACGGGAGGCAGCAGUGGGGAAUAUUGGACAAUGGGCGAAAGCCUGAUCCAGCCAUGCCGCGUGUGUGAAGAAGGCCUUCGGGUUGUAAAGCACUUUCAGUGGGGAAGAAAGCCUUGGGGCUAAUACCCUCGAGGAAGGACAUCACCCACAGAAGAAGCACCGGCUAACUCCGUGCCAGCAGCCGCGGUAAUACGGAGGGUGCGAGCGUUAAUCGGAAUUACUGGGCGUAAAGCGCGCGUAGGCGGUCUGAUAAGCCGGUUGUGAAAGCCCCGGGCUCAACCUGGGAACGGCAUCCGGAACUGUCAGGCUAGAGUGCAGGAGAGGAAGGUAGAAUUCCCGGUGUAGCGGUGAAAUGCGUAGAGAUCGGGAGGAAUACCAGUGGCGAAGGCGGCCUUCUGGACUGACACUGACGCUGAGGUGCGAAAGCGUGGGUAGCAAACAGGAUUAGAUACCCCAGUAUC
This 464-nucleotide ribosomal RNA is filed under the name Vreelandella stevensii. RNAcentral's name for it is "partial 16S ribosomal RNA". It matches the Rfam family "Bacterial small subunit ribosomal RNA", at positions 338 to 794 of the family's 1533-position model. The record is from RNAcentral. Lineage: Bacteria; Pseudomonadati; Pseudomonadota; Gammaproteobacteria; Oceanospirillales; Halomonadaceae.